RNAcentral lists this ribosomal RNA (492 nucleotides) under uncultured bacterium. Its description in RNAcentral is "partial 16S ribosomal RNA". It matches the Rfam family "Bacterial small subunit ribosomal RNA", at positions 29 to 507 of the family's 1533-position model. The record is from RNAcentral.
AGUGAACGCUGGCGGUAGGCCUAACACAUGCAAGUCGAACGGCAGCACAGUAAGAGCUUGCUCUUACGGGCGGCGAGUGGCGGACGGGUGCGGAAUACAUCGGAAUCUACUUUUUCGUGGGGGCUAACGUAGGGAAACUUACGCUAAUACCGCAUACGACCUACGGGUGAAAGCCGGCGAUCUUCGGACCUUGCGCGAUUGAAUGAGCCGAUGUCGGAUUAGCUAGUUGGCGGGGUAAAGGGCCACCAAGGCCACGAUCCGUAGCUGGUCUGAGAGGAUCGUCAGCCACACUGGAACUGAGACACGGCACAGACUCCUAGAGGAGGCAGCGGUGGAGAAUAUUGGACGAUGGGGGCGAGGCUGAUCCAGCAAUACCGCGUGGAUGAUGAAGGAGUUAGGGUUGUAGAGUGAUUAUGUUGGGAAAGAAGAGAAGCAGGUUAAUACCCGACUGUACUGACGGUACCCAAAGAAUAAGCACCGGCUAACUUCGUG